Molecule: ribosomal RNA, 864 nt
Filed under: Sabatieria sp. 1 FH-2016
Lineage: Eukaryota; Metazoa; Nematoda; Chromadorea; Araeolaimida; Comesomatidae
Description: SSU rRNA
Rfam family: Eukaryotic small subunit ribosomal RNA
Source: RNAcentral
UGGCUCAUUACAACAGCCGUCGUUUCUUGGAUCUCUUAUUUUACUUGGAUAACUGUGGUAAUUCUAGAGCUAAUACACGCACUAAAGCUCCGACCUUACGGGACGAGCGCAUUUAUUAGAACAAAACCAAUCGGGUUUCGGCCCGUUCGUUGGUGACUCUGAAUAACUACGCCGAUCGCACGGUCUCGCACCGGCGACGCAUCUUUCAAGUGUCUGCCUUAUCAACUUUCGAUGGUAGUUUAUGUGCCUACCAUGGUUGUAACGGGUAACGGAGAAUAAGGGUUCGACUCCGGAGAGGGAGCCUGAGAAACGGCUACCACAUCCAAGGAAGGCAGCAGGCGCGCAAAUUACCCACUCUCGGCACGAGGAGGUAGUGACGAAAAAUAACGAGACGGAUCUCUUUGAGGCCCGUUAUCGGAAUGAGAACAAUUCAAAUCCUUUAACGAGGAUCUAGCGGAGGGCAAGUCUGGUGCCAGCAGCCGCGGUAAUUCCAGCUCCGCAGGUGUAUAUCUAUGCUGCUGCGGUUAAAAAGCUCGUAGUUGGAUCUGCGUGCUCGGAACCGGUUGGCUCACUGAGUUCAAACUGGUCUCCGGCGCUUUAUCGGCUGGUUUUCCCUUGAUGCUCUUAACCGGGUGUCUUGGGUGGCUAGCACGUUUACUUUGAAAAAAUUAGAGUGCUCAAUACAGGCGCAAAGCCUUGAAUAGUGGUGCAUGGAAUAAUGGAAUAGGACCUCGGUUCUAUUUUGUUGGUUUUCSGAACGCGAGGUAAUGAUUAAGAGGGACAGACGGGGGCAUUCGUAUUGCGACGUUAGAGGUGAAAUUCUUGGAUCGUCGCAAGACGGACGACUGCGAAAGCAUUUGCCAA